CAGCAGCAGCCGCGGUAAUACAGAGGGUGCGAGCGUUAAUCGGAUUUACUGGGCGUAAAGCGUGCGUAGGCGGCUAAUUGAGUCGGAUGUGAAAUCCCCGAGCUUAACUUGGGAAUUGCAUUCGAUACUGGUUAGCUAGAGUGUGGGAGAGGAUGGUAGAAUUCCAGGUGUAGCGGUGAAAUGCGUAGAGAUCUGGAGGAAUACCGAUGGCGAAGGCAGCCAUCUGGCCUAACACUGACGCUGAGGUACGAAAGCAUGGGGAGCAAACAGGAUUAGAUACCCGGGUAGUCCCUGUCUCUUAUAC
This 304-nucleotide ribosomal RNA is filed under the name uncultured bacterium. RNAcentral's name for it is "partial 16S ribosomal RNA". It matches the Rfam family "Bacterial small subunit ribosomal RNA", at positions 506 to 807 of the family's 1533-position model. The record is from RNAcentral.